This 295-nucleotide RNase P RNA is filed under the name uncultured archaeon. RNAcentral describes it as "RNaseP_arch". It matches the Rfam family "Archaeal RNase P". Rfam says of the family: Ribonuclease P (RNase P) is a ubiquitous endoribonuclease, found in archaea, bacteria and eukarya as well as chloroplasts and mitochondria. Its best characterised activity is the generation of mature 5'-ends of tRNAs by cleaving the 5'-leader elements of precursor-tRNAs. The record is from RNAcentral.
GAGUGGUGGGCUGCAGCUGUCGGAGAGAACCGGCUAUCGGGCGCCAUGGUAGAAAUGCCUAGGAGCCUGAAAGAACCGUAGGUUCUUUCUGAGGAAGUUCGGUCCAUCGAGCCAAACGAACGCCUUAAGGGCGUUGCGGGGGAACAGAAACGAACCGCCGGCCGAGGAUGAAUAUGACGGAAGGAAGACGACGCCGGACGGAUGAAACGACUCCCGUGAAGCGAUGAGAUGCAAGGCCUUUGCGCCGCUUAGUCGAAUGCUGCGAAUACAGAAGACCGACUAUAGCCCGCCACUC